This 505-nucleotide ribosomal RNA is filed under the name uncultured bacterium. RNAcentral's name for it is "partial 16S ribosomal RNA". It matches the Rfam family "Bacterial small subunit ribosomal RNA", at positions 899 to 1397 of the family's 1533-position model. The record is from RNAcentral.
ACUCAAAUGAAUUGACGGGGGCUCACACAAGCGGUGGAGCAUGUUGCUUAAUUCGAGGCAACGCGAAGAACCUUACCUGGGCUUGACAUGUACGGAUUAACCCGCUGAAAGGCGGGCCACACCCUCUGGGUGGAACGUGCACAGGUGCUGCAUGGCUGUCGUCAGCUCGUGCUGUGAAGUGUCGGGUUAAGUCCCUUAACGAGCGCAACCCCUGUCGUUAGUUGCUCACGGGUCAUGCCGAGUACUCUAGCGAGACUGCCGGUGUCAAACCGGAGGAAGGCGGGGAUGACGUCAAGUCCUCAUGGCCUUUAUGCCCAGGGAUGCAAACGUGCUACAAUGGCGCGCACAGAGCGAUGCAAGGCCGCGAGGCGGAGCAAAUCGCAAAAAACGCGCCCCAGUUCGGAUUGCAGGCUGCAACUCGCCUGCAUGAAGUCGGAAUCGCUAGUAAUCGGAGAUCAGCUACGCUCCGGUGAAUGUGUUCCUGAGCCUUGUACACACCGCCCGU